This 253-nucleotide ribosomal RNA is filed under the name uncultured bacterium. RNAcentral's name for it is "partial 16S ribosomal RNA". It matches the Rfam family "Bacterial small subunit ribosomal RNA", at positions 524 to 776 of the family's 1533-position model. The record is from RNAcentral.
UACGUAGGGGGCAAGCGUUGUCCGGAUUUAUUGGGCGUAAAGAGCGUGUAGGCGGCCUGAAAGGUCAGCUGUGAAAACUCGAGGCUCAACCUCGAGACGUCGGUUGAAACCAUCUGGCUAGAGUCCGGAAGAGGAGUGUGGAAUUCCCGGUGUAGCGGUGAAAUGCGCAGAUAUCGGGAAGAACACCCGUGGCGAAGGCGGCACGCUGGGACGGUACUGACGCUGAGACGCGAAAGCGUGGGGAGCGAACAGG